CAGCAAGAAAAUUUUGGAGCAAGAACGAGAGAGAUGUUCGGGUAUACGGGCGUGAGCAACAAGGGUGGAGAAGUUGACAUAGAAUCUGGGGAGACCUUGUACCCAGGUUUGAGCUAUGGCGAGAAUCAGCUCCGAUGGGGUUUCAUUCGCAAGGUCUACGGCAUCCUCGCGGCGCAGAUCGUGCUCACCACCAUUGUCUCCUCCGUCACCGUUUUGUACUCUCCGAUCAACGACCUUCUCCGGGGGAAUUCUGGCCUUCUUCUGUUCCUCUGCUUCCUACCCCUAAUCUUAUUAUGGCCCAUGUACAUUUAUAGGCAGAAGCACCCUCUGAACCUUGUCUUCCUUGGACUUUUUACGACUACACUUAGCCUCACAGUUGGCGUCAGCUGUGCAAACACUGAUGGCAGGAUUGUGCUUGAAGCACUAAUUUUGACCUCAGCAGUAGUUUCUUCCUUAACUGGAUACACCUUCUGGGCCUCAAAGAAAGGCAAGGACUUCAGCUAUCUUGGACCAUUUUUGUUUACUGCCCUAAUGAUUCUCCUCCUCACUAGCUUCAUUCAGGCCUUCUUCCCUCUUGGUCCUAUUUCCACAGCCGUUUACGGUGGAAUUGGUGCAAUAAUAUUCUCAGGGUACAUUAUAUAUGACACGGAUAAUCUGAUCAAGCGCUUUACCUACGACGACUACAUAUGGGCUGCAAUCACUCUAUAUCUGGAUAUCUUGAACUUGUUCCUCACCAUUUUGCGGAUGCUGAGACAGGGAGACAAUUAGGUGGACAAAGUUUUCUCUACCUGAAUUCAGGCUCAUCAUUCAGUUGCUUAUUUUAUAUAUAUAAUGUAUGGUUAAAAAUAAUUUUCGGUAAAAAAGUACAUAAUACUCUGAAGUAUUUUGCAUGUUGGCUUCUAGUUUUUCUUCUGACUGAAUGAAGUUUGGUAUUUUAGUUCAAUUUGUCCAGCUAAAUUUGG
RNAcentral lists this unclassified non-coding RNA (962 nucleotides) under Hevea brasiliensis (rubber tree). The record is from RNAcentral. Lineage: Eukaryota; Viridiplantae; Streptophyta; Magnoliopsida; Malpighiales; Euphorbiaceae.